GACGAACGCUGGCGGCGUGCCUAAUACAUGCGAGUUGAGCGCUGAAGGUUGGUACUUGUACCAACUGGAUGAGCAGCGAACGGGUGAGUAACGCGUGGGGAAUCUGCCUUUGAGCGGGGGACAACAUUUGGAAACGAAUGCUAAUACCGCAUAAAAACUUUAAACACAAGUUUUAAGUUUGAAAGAUGCAAUUGCAUCACUCAAAGAUGAUCCCGCGUUGUAUUAGCUAGUUGGUGAGGUAAAGGCUCACCAAGGCGAUGAUACAUAGCCGACCUGAGAGGGUGAUCGGCCACAUUGGGACUGAGACACGGCCCAAACUCCUACGGGAGGCAGCAGUAGGGAAUCUUCGGAAAUGGACGAAAGUCUGACCGAGCAACGCCGCGUGAGUGAAGAAGGUUUUCGGAUCGUAAAACUCUGUUGGUAGAGAAGAACGUUGGUGAGAGUGGAAAGCUCAUCAAGUGACGGUAACUACCCAGAAAGGGACGGCUAACUACGUG
This 497-nucleotide ribosomal RNA is filed under the name uncultured bacterium. RNAcentral describes it as "partial 16S ribosomal RNA". It matches the Rfam family "Bacterial small subunit ribosomal RNA", at positions 28 to 507 of the family's 1533-position model. The record is from RNAcentral.